UCGAAGUCGUCCUUCCGAGUUUGGUGGGAGUUUCAGUGAUGGCGACGCUCUGUAGGAGAGCGAUAUCACGAGCGCCGUCGUAAGGACUUACACCCGUGAGGAGGGAGUACAUAACUCUCCUUCUCCAGACCUCAGCUUUUAUUUCUCUUUCCCUCCAACUCGUUGACGUAAGACUUGGGCUACUACUUUUCACUGGUUGCCCCCACAUCCUACGUCGUUGCAGCGGGAGCCAUGCCUGAUUCGAGAUGGCUCGGGAGAAAGUUUCUUCCUCUGCUUAACGUGAACCCGUGGAGGCGGCACAGGAGGGGCCUCCACUUGUUGCAGGCUUUGGGCUGCAAUGGCUAGCGCUUGGACUUGCUGCACUAGCGCUUGGAUUCUGGACUGAGCGUCCGGAGCUUGGAGCAUGAUGCCGGGAGGUAUCAGAGACUCCUCUGCUCUUAGUUUCAUGGCCACAAUUCGGUCCCUACCUCUAGCGCCAACUGUUGCUGGAAAUUGGACCCGGAGGCGACCGCGGACCGAGGAG
RNAcentral lists this long non-coding RNA (523 nucleotides) under Phoenix dactylifera (date palm). Its description in RNAcentral is "long non-coding RNA (PDAC_LNC022437)". The record is from RNAcentral. Lineage: Eukaryota; Viridiplantae; Streptophyta; Magnoliopsida; Arecales; Arecaceae.